GUGCUCGCUUCAGCAGCACAUACACUAAAGUAGGAACAAUAGAGAGAAGAUUAGCAUGGCCCCUGCACAAGGAUAACACGUAAAUUCAUGAGGCUUCCAUAUUUUUA
Molecule: small nuclear RNA, 107 nt
Filed under: Catagonus wagneri (Chacoan peccary)
Lineage: Eukaryota; Metazoa; Chordata; Mammalia; Artiodactyla; Tayassuidae
Source: RNAcentral